GACGAACGCUGGCGGCGUGCCUAAUACAUGCAAGUCGAGCGAAGUUUUUCUGGUGCUUGCACUAGAAAAACUUAGCGGCGAACGGGUGAGUAACACGUAAAGAACCUGCCUCAUAGACUGGGACAACUAUUGGAAACGAUAGCUAAUACCGGAUAACAGCAUUAACUGCAUGGUUGAUGUUUAAAAGUUGGUUUUGCUAACACUAUGAGAUGGCUUUGCGGUGCAUUAGCUAGUUGGUGGGGUAAAGGCCUACCAAGGCGACGAUGCAUAGCCGACCUGAGAGGGUGAUCGGCCACACUGGGACUGAGACACGGCCCAGACUCCUACGGGAGGCAGCAGUAGGGAAUCUUCCGCAAUGGGCGAAAGCCUGACGGAGCAACGCCGCGUGAGUGAAGAAGGAUUUCGGUUCGUAAAGCUCUGUUGUUAGGGAAGAAUGAUUGUGUAGUAGCUAUACACAGUAGAGACGGUACCUAACCAGAAAGCCACGGCUAACUACGUGCCAGCAGCCGCGGUAAUACGUAGGUGGCAAGCGUUGUCCGGAAUUAUUGGGCGUAAAGCGCGCGCAGGUGGUUUAAUAAGUCUGAUGUGAAAGCCCACGGCUCAACCGUGGAGGGUCAUUGGAAACUGUUAAACUUGAGUGCAGGAGAGAAAAGUGGAAUUCCUAGUGUAGCGGUGAAAUGCGUAGAGAUUAGGAGGAACACCAGUGGCGAAGGCGGCUUUUGGCCUGUAACUGACACUGAGGCGCGAAAGCGUGGGGAGCAAACAGG
This 767-nucleotide ribosomal RNA is filed under the name uncultured bacterium. RNAcentral's name for it is "bacterial SSU rRNA". It matches the Rfam family "Bacterial small subunit ribosomal RNA", at positions 28 to 776 of the family's 1533-position model. The record is from RNAcentral.